GACGAACGCUGGCGGCGUGCUUAACACAUGCAAGUCGAACGGAAAGGCCCCUUUGGGGGUACUCGAGUGGCGAACGGGUGAGUAACACGUGAGUAACCUGCCCUUGACUUCGGGAUAACUUCAGGAAACUGGGGCUAAUACCGGAUAGGAAUCCUUGCUGCAUGGUGGGGGUUGGAAAGCUUCGGCGGUUUUGGAUGGACUCGCGGCUUAUCAGCUUGUUGGUGGGGUAGUGGCUACCAAGGCUUUGACGGGUAGCCGGCCUGAGAGGGCGACCGGCCACAUUGGGACUGGGAUACGGCCCAGACUCCUACGGGAGGCAGGAGGGGGGAAUAUUGCACAAUGGGCGGAAGCCUGAUGCAGCAACGCCGCGGGCGGGAUGACGGCCUUCGGGUUGUAAACCGCUUUCAGCAGGGGCGAAGCUUGUGGUGACGGUACCUGCAGAAGAAGCACCGGCUAACUACGUG
RNAcentral lists this ribosomal RNA (464 nucleotides) under uncultured bacterium. RNAcentral describes it as "partial 16S ribosomal RNA". It matches the Rfam family "Bacterial small subunit ribosomal RNA", at positions 28 to 507 of the family's 1533-position model. The record is from RNAcentral.